This 292-nucleotide ribosomal RNA is filed under the name uncultured prokaryote. RNAcentral describes it as "partial 16S ribosomal RNA". It matches the Rfam family "Archaeal small subunit ribosomal RNA", at positions 455 to 747 of the family's 1478-position model. The record is from RNAcentral.
GUGCCAGCCGCCGCGGUAAUACCGGCAGUCCGAGUGAUGGCCGAUCUUAUUGGGCCUAAAGCGUCCGUAGCUGGCUGAACAAGUCCGUUGGGAAAUCUGUCCGCUUAACGGGCAGGCGUCCAGCGGAAACUGUCCAGCUUGGGACCGGAAGACCUGAGGGGUACGUCUGGGGUAGGAGUGAAUCCUGUAAUCCUGGACGGACCGCCGGUGGCGAAAGCGCCUCAGGAGAACGGAUCCGACAGUGAGGGACGAAAGCCAGGGUCUCGAACCGGAUUAGAUACCCCGGUAGUCC